AUUGAACGCUGGCGGCAGGCCUAACACAUGCAAGUCGAACGGUAACAGGAAGAAGCUUGCUUCUUUGCUGACGAGUGGCGGACGGGUGAGUAAUGUCUGGGAAACUGCCUGAUGGAGGGGGAUAACUACUGGAAACGGUAGCUAAUACCGCAUAACGUCGCAAGACCAAAAAGGGGGGCCUUCGGGCCUCUUGCCAUCGGAUGUGCCCAGAUGGGAUUAGCUAGUAGGUGGGGUAACGGCUCACCUAGGCGACGAUCCCUAGCUGGUCUGAGAGGAUGACCAGCCACACUGGAACUGAGUCACGGUCCAGACUCCUACGGGAGGCAGCAGUGGGGAAUAUUGCACAAUGGGCGCAAGCCUGAUGCAGCCAUGCCGCGUGUAUGAAGAAGGCCUUCGGGUUGUAAAGUACUUUCAGCGGGGAGGAAGGGAGUAAAGUUAAUACCUUUGCUCAUUGACGUUACCCGCAGAAGAAGCACCGGCUAACUCCGUG
RNAcentral lists this ribosomal RNA (490 nucleotides) under uncultured bacterium. Its description in RNAcentral is "partial 16S ribosomal RNA". It matches the Rfam family "Bacterial small subunit ribosomal RNA", at positions 30 to 507 of the family's 1533-position model. The record is from RNAcentral.